Lagenorhynchus albirostris (white-beaked dolphin) is the source of this 4345-nucleotide long non-coding RNA. RefSeq lists it as uncharacterized. The transcript has 2 exons. The record is from RefSeq and is a predicted model, not a curated record. Lineage: Eukaryota; Metazoa; Chordata; Mammalia; Artiodactyla; Delphinidae.
GAAAAUGGCCAUGUAGGAGGUGGAGAAAUCAGAACUCAAAUCACGGUUGUCAAAGAAGAAGAAAUUUUUCUCCCUCAACCAAAGUGGCACGAGCCUGUUUUACAGAACAUGAAAGCAAACCCAGAGAUGGAUUUUUAUGAACAGCUGUGUCUGCUGAACACAUCUGCCCUUCGGCCCUGCUGUGAAGGGCAAGAAAUGGCUUCUGCUCUGGUGGCUUGAGCAAACAGGUAGUAUUUUACCACCUGCCCCCUCCCCCAGCCCCCUUUUCUUUUAAUGACAGCAAACUGAGAUGUCACUGCCCAACAGGAAAGGGCCCUGUGGUCAGGACCGAGUGCGGAAUUCGCCUUGGGCACUCUAGAGGCAGGGAGAAGCCGGCAGGCAGGGGUAUAAGCGCACCUCACCUCGGGCCCAGCCCUCCUCUUCCAGUGAGCAUUCCUGAACCCCAGCAGCGGCAGACCUUGCACCCUGGGGGCUGAAUUGACUUGGGGUGGUGAGGGGUCUUGUCUGUCUCCACCCUUCGGGGAGCAUACUGAUUGGUGUGAGCGAGUGUGUCCAGAACCGGGCACACAGGGACCGGUGGGAAGAGGUGGUGACACCUCUUCUUUAAAAACACUCUUAAAGUUGUCUGCAUUUUCAGCAGUUGGAAGGAUCUGUCGAGGCUCAGGCACGUAGGAAAUGUAUAGUUUGUAGCAUCACGGUAAUCUCAAAGAGAUUUGAAUUAUGUGAAGUGUUCCCGGGAAGCAGGAGGCAGUUGUCCGUGAUGGUGUUCAGGCUGAGGCAGCACCACCACGGUGCGCGGGUCUCCGGUCACCUGUAAGAGCUCGCUCCGCUUUCUCAUGCAUUCGGCUACACUGGCUGAUGUAGUCAGUUGCGUUAAUUAAAUGAACUUUAUCGUAUGCUCUUUUAAACCUUUGUUUUAUAUUUAAAAAAAAAAAAAAAAACCCUGGGUUGGCACGUUGAUUGGGAAACCAGAGGGGGACCCAGCAACUUCUCCCCCAAAGUGAAGCUUUUCCAGGUUUUGUUGAGAAGACACCUGCCAGCACUUUUGGAAGCUGAAAUUAACAGAAGCAAAUUCACCAGGAGGGAAAGAUUUCAGGCCAACACAAAAGCAAAUGAAAGGGCUAUUAAAAAAUUUUUUUACACCUUUGAAAAUCGCAGGUUUGGUGCAAAGAGGUCUGUCAUCUUUCCCCUGGGAUAUGAGAUUAUCUAGCUCACAGUAGAGGAUCAUCAGUGACAACUCUAGCAGUUACAGUGUGUAAUAAGUACUGCUCCCAGUGGCAAUUAGUGAGGAAACUACUAUAAGUUAUUUCAACUGGAAAAAAAAAAAAAAAGAGCCCUCUUCUACUGGCCUUUUGCAGAAUACAGCAGAUGGAAUUGCCACUUGCAAUUGGUACUUUAUACUUUGCUGCUGUUUUUGUAUGAAAUGACUUAUCCCAUAUUUUUGCAUGGAUUUCUACCAGGAAAAAUAAAGGGAUUUCCUAUGGAAGUCCUGUCUUAAUUGCAGGUGAAGGGAAGAAAGUGUACACUUUUGGCAGGUAUAAACCUCAAAUGUGAUGACAUUUCUGAUGCUAUGUGGAGAUGUUGGGGGCUUCCUGGGUGCCUCACUUACAGGAUCCUAGGCCUCUGAAGCUCCAGCCCUGAAGUUUCCAGGUAGGAGAGCUGCUUGCCAAGCCUCCAGAGGACACAGGAAGAGACGAGAGUACGUGGCCAGACCUGGACUGGUCUUUGCGCAGGACUGUCGACACAGAGCCGGAGACGAUACAGGAAAUCAUCUGAACCUCCUGGAUGUGUGUUCCUGCUCCCAGUCAGGUCUGAGACUCAUGGUAUGACUUCUUAUUCCAUUUUGGCCUCGGCUGAAGCCAUCGUGGUGCCCCCUCUAGAAGCCAUGGGGAGCAGUCUCUGAGGGCCCGCGUUCUCCACCUGCUAACGUGAUCUCCUGUGAGGGCUUCCUACGGCGCACAGCUGUCCCCCAGGUACUUGGGAACCGGCUUCAGGUACAGCCCAGUUUGGGUGAUCUUGUUGGUCACAUCUGGCUGCAUUUGGAUGGUGUCUCAGAACCCUCAGUGCUCAAAGCUAAAGGCUACUUCUAGGAGGCGUGAAGUUUUAAUUUUGUGUUUUUCCGAGAGCUACUUGCUUGGCCCUUUUUCUUUAUAGACUAGACUGCUGGAGGAGGAGGAUGAGAGGAAAAAGUGGGGAAGCCCACCUUCAGCACCAUUGAAAAGAAAUUUGGUUGUACCCAGAGGUUAGGAUCUGGUUUCAUUCCCACCCUAGAGGCUGCGUAGGUGGCUUUGAGGCACAUGUAAUAUUAGUGUCCUUCAAGUCAUAAAAAUAGUUUAAAAAUCCUAUUGCCUGAAGGCAUUUAUACAUUGAAAAACUUAAAGGACAGCUGAAAGGGGCAGGAGGAAAUCGGGGCAGUUCUGGGGGGUGACGGUGGCUGUUGGAGACCCUUUUCAGUGCCGUUGUCCAGGCUGCACAACGUGCCUCGCUUCCCUGCCCCGGGCUCCCCGCCAGGCCACCUUCACCUUGCGGCUUGUGCUGACGCUGACCUGAGAGCAGCUAGAGCGCGGGGGCCCUGGAUCCUGGCCUCAGCGCCUCCCUCAGGAGCCAGCUUGUAUUCCCUUUCCUCUCCGCCCACUCCCUCCCCGCUCCUAACUUUAUUUAGUACUUGGAGCCUUCCAGUGCAAGUAGGUAGCCGCCCCAGCGGUUCGGGUUACAGGCCUGUGCUGGCCAGUCUUCUCUGCUGGCCACCUUCCUGGCAGGCUGCAGAUCUGACAUUCUGAGACAAGCCCAGAGUCAGGAGCGGGGACUUGGACUCUUAGGAAGAACAGACAUGAGGGCAAGGCUGCUGGCAGACUUUUCCAUUGUCCUUAUGUUGUCUGUGCUGUAUUUUUUUAUUUACCAUGGUGAUUAUUUUUUUAAAUCAUUGUUAAUGUAUUGGAAUGAGCUGUAGCACGUAUCUUGUGCUUAGUUUGUUUUUCUCCAUCUCCCUCUGGCUUCCUAGAGUUUGGACGUAUUCCAGGGCUAAAUGCUUUUACUCACACCGCAGAAAAAGGUUUUCUUUAAGUAACGCGUGCAUGUCAUGCAUGUAUGUGAGUAGCUUGGGGAGACGGCAGAUAUCUCAUUUCAUUCUCAGCCCCAAGCUGCCAUUUCUGGGCUCCGUGAGGGUCUCUGCGGGGUGAGAGCUCACAUUAGAGCUCUCAUUAGGCCACUCUCUGUAGUCCUUAAAAGGAGAAGGGAGGGACAGGAAUCUGCAGACUGCUCAGGGGACUGUUUACCAAGGGGGUUACCAAGUAGCAAGAGAGGGCAUGAGUUUGGUUCCGGGCCCUGUGUCUUACUGUGUGACUAAGUGGCACAGUUGGGAGUUUUUCCCAAAUCUACAUCUUUGCUAGAAGAAAACCUCAACACGGCUAAGUUGUACCGUUUUUCUUGGUGUGGCAUAGAUGUUCCCUUCUCGAACCCCUUCAAGUGACAGUCUUUCAGGAGUAUCAGCCACUCCGCAAGUGGGUGGGAAAGCAGAAAAGCGUAUGGAUCAAAAAUGAGGCGCCUCUGAUGGAAGAGCGGGGAAAUGACGUGCGCCCCAGGCACCCUUUCAGAAGCACAGCUACCACAUGCAAAAACUCGCGCACCGUGUAAACUGGAUGGAGAAAUUCUCUCAAGUGAUCCUGUAAUUUUUUGCUUUUGUGCUAAAGUAAUGUACACUCGAGCAUUCUGGUGUUUUUAUAUUUAUGUAAUAAUUUCUUAAAACCAUUCAAGACAGAUAACUAUUUAAUUUUUUGAAGAAAGUUGGAAAAGGCUCUCCUCCCAAGGACAGUGGCUGGGAAGAGACGGGGCACAGCCAGUUCCAAAUGCUGGUAGAGGGUGCAGUGGCUUUUGGGCUCAGCACCUGGGACGACUGACCCAGGCUGGCUCCCCACGUGGCAGCAUGUGACACAGGCAGCUCAGAGUCGAAUACAGGCCCUUACGUGGGGGCCUCUGAACCAAGCCCCUCUCCCUUCCUAGGGGUGAGAACUGUCCAGAGGGAUGAAGCCAUCUUCCUCCAGGAAGCCUUCAUUCACCCUCAGUGCUGCUGUUGCAACUAGGCUGUUCUGGGCAGGACUCCUGUUGGGGUGUGCGUUUGGGUGGGGAAAAAGAACGCGGAGGAUGUUGAUUACCUUCCCUUCUCAGCCAGCCUGACCUUUUAAUACCUUUGUAAAAAGCAUGUAUGUAUUUAUAGUGUUUUAGAUUUUUCUAACUUUUAUCUUAAGAGCAGAGCACCUGUUUAAGCAUUGUACCCCCUAUUGUUAAAGAACUGUGUCCUCUCUCUCCCCUGUAAGUGCCCUUCUAAUAAACUUUUCAUUGAAAAGCU